GACGAACGCUGGCGGCGUGCUUAACACAUGCAAGUCGAACGGAAAGGCCCUGCUUUUGUGGGGUGCUCGAGUGGCGAACGGGUGAGUAACACGUGAGUAACCUGCCCUUGACUUUGGGAUAACUUCAGGAAACUGGGGCUAAUACCGGAUAGGAGCUCCUGCUGCAUGGUGGGGGUUGGAAAGUUUCGGCGGUUGGGGAUGGACUCGCGGCUUAUAAGCUUGUUGGUGGGGUAGUGGCUUACCAAGGCUUUGACGGGUAGCCGGCCUGAGAGGGUGAACGGCCACAUUGGGACUGAGAGACGGCCCAGACUCCUACGGGAGGCAGCAGUGGGGAAUAUUGCACAAUGGGCGGAAGCCUGAUGCAGCAACGCCGCGUGCGGGAUGACGGCCUUCGGGUUGUAAACCGCUUUCGCCUGUGACGAAGCGUGAGUGACGGUAAUGGGUAAAGAAGCACCGGCUAACUACGUG
This 468-nucleotide ribosomal RNA is filed under the name uncultured bacterium. RNAcentral describes it as "partial 16S ribosomal RNA". It matches the Rfam family "Bacterial small subunit ribosomal RNA", at positions 28 to 507 of the family's 1533-position model. The record is from RNAcentral.